GUGAGGACUCGGGAGGUGGAGGGCGGCGUCGCCAGGGCCGGGCGCCGUCUCAGCCCGCUCGUCCCCCACCUCCUCUCUCCUCAG
RNAcentral lists this microRNA precursor (84 nucleotides) under Tupaia belangeri (northern tree shrew). Its description in RNAcentral is "microRNA 1224 (ENSTBEG00000019922.1)". It matches the Rfam family "mir-1224 microRNA precursor family". The record is from RNAcentral. Lineage: Eukaryota; Metazoa; Chordata; Mammalia; Scandentia; Tupaiidae.